CUGGUACUCCCUCCGUCCGGAAAUACUCGUCGGAAAAAUGCAUAAAAAUGGAUGUAUCUAAAACUAAAAUACGUCUAGAUACAUCCAUUCCUUUGACAAGUAUUUCGGGACGGAUAGAGUAUUUG
Triticum aestivum (bread wheat) is the source of this 125-nucleotide non-coding RNA. Lineage: Eukaryota; Viridiplantae; Streptophyta; Magnoliopsida; Poales; Poaceae. The record is from Rfam.